This 496-nucleotide ribosomal RNA is filed under the name uncultured bacterium. RNAcentral's name for it is "partial 16S ribosomal RNA". It matches the Rfam family "Bacterial small subunit ribosomal RNA", at positions 28 to 507 of the family's 1533-position model. The record is from RNAcentral.
GAUGAACGCUGGCGGCGUGCCUAAUACAUGCAAGUCGAGCGAACGGACGAGAAGCUUGCUUCUCUGAUGUUAGCGGCGGACGGGUGAGUAACACGUGGAUAACCUACCUAUAAGACUGGGAUAACUUCGGGAAACCGGAGCUAAUACCGGAUAAUAUUUUGAACCGCAUGGUUCAAAAGUGAAAGACGGUCUUACUGUCACUUAUAGAUGGAUCCGCGCUGCAUUAGCUAGUUGGUAGGUAACGGCUUACCAAGGCAACGAUGCAUAGCCGACCUGAGAGGGUGAUCGGCCACACUGGAACUGAGACACGGUCCAGACUCCUACGGGAGGCAGCAGUAGGGAAUCUUCCGCAAUGGGCGAAAGCCUGACGGAGCAACGCCGCGUGAGUGAUGAAGGUCUUCGGAUCGUAAAACUCUGUUAUUAGGGAAGAACAUAUGUGUAAGUAACUGUGCACAUCUUGACGGUACCUAAUCAGAAAGCCACGGCUAACUACGUG